CCAUCCUUUAAAGAAAGCGUAAUAGCUCACUGGUCUAGUGAUUCUGCGCGGAAAAUAUAACGGGGCUAAAAAUGAGUACCGAAGCUUUAGACUUAGUUUUACUAAGUGGUAGGAGAGCGUUGUAUUUGCGUUGAAGGUAUACCGGUAAGGAGUGCUGGAGCGAAUACAAGUGAGCAUGCAGGCAUGAGUAGCGAUAAUUGGGGUGAGAAUCCCCAACGCCGUAAACCCAAGGUUUCCUACGCGAUGCUCGUCAUCGUAGGGUUAGCCGGGUCCUAAGCAAAGUCCGAAAGGGGUAUGCGAUGGAAAAUUGGUUAAUAUUCCAAUGCCAACUAUAAUGUGCGAUGGAAGGACGCUUAGAGUUAGAGGAGCCAGCGGAUGGUAGUGCUGGUCGAAAGGUGCAGGUUGGAGUUCAGGCAAAUCCGAACUCCUUUAAGCCGAGGCCUUACAGGUGCGUGAAGUUCUUCGGAAUGAAUCGUAAAUCCUUGAUACUGUCGAGCCAAGAAAAGUUUCUAAGUUUAGUUAUAGUUGCCCGUACCGUAAACCGACACAGGUGGGUGGGAUGAGUAUUCUAAGGCGCGUGGAAGAACUCUCUUCAAGGAACUCUGCAAAAUAGCACCGUAUCUUCGGUAUAAGGUGUGCCUAACUUUGUGAAGGAUUUACUCCGUAAGCAUUGAAGGUUACAACAAAGAGUCCCUCCCGACUGUUUACCAAAAACACAGCACUCUGCUAACUCGUAAGAGGAUGUAUAGGGUGUGACGCCUGCCCGGUGCUCGAAGGUUAAUUGAUGACGUUAGCUCUGCGAAGCGUUUGAUCGAAGCCCGAGUAAACGGCGGCCG
This 836-nucleotide ribosomal RNA is filed under the name Campylobacter concisus. Its description in RNAcentral is "bacterial LSU rRNA". It matches the Rfam family "Bacterial large subunit ribosomal RNA", at positions 1116 to 1936 of the family's 2925-position model. Lineage: Bacteria; Pseudomonadati; Campylobacterota; Epsilonproteobacteria; Campylobacterales; Campylobacteraceae. The record is from RNAcentral.